RNAcentral lists this transfer RNA (74 nucleotides) under Virgisporangium aliadipatigenens. RNAcentral's name for it is "tRNA-Ala". It matches the Rfam family "tRNA". Rfam says of the family: Transfer RNA (tRNA) molecules are approximately 80 nucleotides in length. Their secondary structure includes four short double-helical elements and three loops (D, anti-codon, and T loops). Lineage: Bacteria; Bacillati; Actinomycetota; Actinomycetes; Micromonosporales; Micromonosporaceae. The record is from RNAcentral.
GGGCUUGUGGCGCAGUCGGUAGCGCGCCGGUACGGCACACCGGAGGUCGGCGGUUCGAAUCCGCCCUUGUCCAC